This 864-nucleotide ribosomal RNA is filed under the name uncultured archaeon. Its description in RNAcentral is "SSU rRNA". It matches the Rfam family "Archaeal small subunit ribosomal RNA", at positions 474 to 1337 of the family's 1478-position model. The record is from RNAcentral.
AACCAGCACCUCAAGUGGUCAGGAUGAUUAUUGGGCCUAAAGCAUCCGUAGCCGGCUAUGUAAGUUUUCGGUUAAAUCUGUGCGCUUAACGUACAGGCUGCCGGGAAUACUGCACAGCUAGGAAGUGGGAGAGGUAGACGGUACUCGGUAGGAAGGGGUAAAAUCCUUUGAUCUAUUGAUGACCACCUGUGGCGAAGGCGGUCUACCAGAACACGUUCGACGGUGAGGGAUGAAAGCUGGGGGAGCAAACCGGAUUAGAUACCCGGGUAGUCCCAGCCGUAAACUAUGCAAACUCAGUGAUGCAUUGGCUUGUGGCCAAUGCAGUGCUGCGGGGAAGCCGUUAAGUUUGCCGCCUGGGAAGUACGUACGCAAGUAUGAAACUUAAAGGAAUUGGCGGGGGAGCACCACAAGGGGUGAAGCCUGCGGUUCAAUUGGAGUCAACGCCAGAAAUCUUACCCGGAGAGACAGCAGAAUGAAGGUCAAGCUGAAGACUUUACCAGACAAGCUGAGAGGUGGUGCAUGGCCGUCGCCAGCUCGUGCCGUGAGAUGUCCUGUUAAGUCAGGUAACGAGCGAGAUCCCUGCCUCUAGUUGCCACCAUUACUCUCAGGAGUAGUGGGGCGAAUUAGCGGGACCGCCGCAGUUAAUGUGGAGGAAGGAAGGGGCCACGGCAGGUCAGUAUGCCCCGAAACUCUGGGGCCACACGCGGGCUGCAAUGGUAGUGACAAUGGGUUCCGAAUCCGAAAGGAGGAGGUAAUCCUCAAACGCUACCACAGUUGUGACUGAGGGCUGCAACUCGCCCUCACGAACAUGGAAUCCCUAGUAACUGCGUGUCAUUAUCGCGCGGUGAAUACGUCCCUGCUCCU